Molecule: ribosomal RNA, 498 nt
Filed under: uncultured bacterium
Lineage: Bacteria
Description: partial 16S ribosomal RNA
Rfam family: Bacterial small subunit ribosomal RNA
Source: RNAcentral
AUUGAACGCUGGCGGCAUGCUAUACACAUGCAGGUCGAACGGUAACAGGCCGCAAGGUGCUGACGAGUGGCGAACGGGUGAGUAAUGCAUCGGAACGUGCCCCGUCGUGGGGGAUAACGCAGCGAAAGCUGCGCUAAUACCGCAUACGAUCUCUGGAUGAAAGCGGGGGACCGAAAGGCACCGCGCGAUUGGAGCGGACGAUGUCAGAUUAGGUAGUUGGUGGGGUAAAGGCCCACCAAGCCAACGAUCUGUAGCUGGUCUGAGAGGACGACCAGCCACACUGGGACUGAGACACGGCCCAGACUCCUACGGGAGGCAGCAGUGGGGAAUUUUGGAUAAUGGGCGCAAGCCUGAUCCAGCAAUGCCGCGUGCAGGAAGAAGGCCUUCGGGUUGUAAACUGCUUUUGUACGGAACGAAACGGUCCGGGUUAAUACCCUGGGCUAAUGACGGUACCGUAAGAAUAAGCACCGGCUAACUACGUGCCAGCCGCCGCGGUAA